CCUGUUUCCUCCUUCCGCCCCCCCCCGCCAGUGAAGGAUAUCCCGGCACAAUUAAUAAGCUAACAGGCUUUGCCUUGAGACGACGAGAGGAACCAGGGAACCUUCCCGAUCCAGAUACAACGCACUGUCCCAUAGUCAGAGCCAAGAUGGCGACUGUGGUGCUGACUAGGACGACACACGGCCUGCUGGAAAAUUUCGAACACUCUUCAGCGACUUCUGGCAGAAGCUGUGGCGCAGAGGGCCACAGACUCAGGGGAAGUGGAAGAAGACAGAGGAGCGGC
Pelobates cultripes (western spadefoot toad) is the source of this 281-nucleotide non-coding RNA. Lineage: Eukaryota; Metazoa; Chordata; Amphibia; Anura; Pelobatidae. The record is from the annotation of a GenBank genome assembly.